GGGCGAUUGGUCUAGUGGUAUGACAUCUGCUUAGCACCGACGGAGAAUUGCUCUUUCGAGCGAAUCCCGGUGAUACUGCUGAAGGUCCCGCGUUCAAUUCGCGGAUUGUCCA
Plectosphaerella plurivora is the source of this 112-nucleotide non-coding RNA. Lineage: Eukaryota; Fungi; Ascomycota; Sordariomycetes; Glomerellales; Plectosphaerellaceae. The record is from the annotation of a GenBank genome assembly.